RNAcentral lists this long non-coding RNA (3076 nucleotides) under Homo sapiens (human). RNAcentral's name for it is "HSALNT0352876". Lineage: Eukaryota; Metazoa; Chordata; Mammalia; Primates; Hominidae. The record is from RNAcentral.
UAUCUACUUAUGUAGUCGCUUGCUUAAUAUUUAUCUUCUCUAUCAGACUAUAAGCUCCAUGAAGGCAAGGUAUGCCCACCUAGUACAGUAUCUGACACGUAUAAGAAAGGUAGCAUAUUAUCUAACUCACGACUCUCUCAAUAAAGAAACAGCAUCCCACAAGACAAAGUAUUUUGAUCACUACUUUAAAAGGAAAUGUGAUGAAAUUUCAUUGCUUUUCUCUGCACAGCAUUCAUGGAGGCAUCCCCAACUCUUCUUUCCCAUACGGGAGGCAACCUCAUUCUCCUUAAUGACUCCCUGUUCUCUCCCAUCAACCACAAAGGAACCAACAGGAGUUUAAAGACAGAAAGAAAGGGCAAUUCUGGAUCCAGAUUAGCAGAAAAGGCAUCAGGCUUGUCAAACCCCGAGUUCCUCUCCCACAGAGCUGAGGGGCCUGUACAGCUACACCUGUGCACACUACAAAGUUAUCUCGUAUUUCCACUAGACACCUCCACUUCCUUCCCUCCCACUACUGAACACAUCAACAUGCUGUAGGAAUUUCUCUUCUGAAUAGUGCUUUGCCCUCAUAAUGACAUCCGGCCAGAUAAAUGGGAGGACACUGGAAUAAUUUGAUUUCUACCAGAUAUUUCUACUCUUGCUACCUGUCCUUUUUCUUCUCCUUCUAAAAUAAAUGUCGACUCCUCUUAGCCACAUUUCUUCCUACUUGUCCUAUAAAGAAAAGACUAGGGUUGGAAGACCCAAGUGUGAUUUGUUUUCUUUCUCUGAUCUUUUUUUCUAGUUAGCCCUCUCUAAACUAGAACGUAUGUGAUUCAAUCAUUCAUUUAUUAAUUCAAUAAAAUCAUGUAUUGAGUGCCUAUUAUCAGCUAGGUACGCAGUGAAUGAGACAAUAUCAGAUAGUUUCAUGUUAAAUAAAGGGAACAGAAAAGAGCAUGAGCCCUGGACAUAAGAGGGGGUAAGUAGAGGGGUCUCAUGGCGGGAGACAAAGGGCAAAGAUGGGAGAGCAUUGUCUUUCAUCACUUCCACAAUCAUGUGAGGGUCCUAUUGGGAUGCUCAGGCCUAGCACUUGGAUUGCUCCGCUGUGAGCUGAUGAGUGCAAAAUGUUUGGGGGUAAGACUUCACAGGUGAUCCUGAGGAUACAAAGACUCCACUGCAACCAUUUUCUUGAUGACCUGGAGAAUUUCAACACUUUCAUGUGAGAGUACAAGACAGCUAACCUGCUACUGCGGAAAUAAAAACUAAACACUAAAAAAUGUAGCUCUGAAAUAGUGUGGCCCAAGAAAUUGCUGAGGUUUGGAAUGAAAUAUGUUUGUUGUAGGGUAAGAAUAGGUAUGCUAAUCUCCUGCAAUUUUAUCCUUUGGGUUUCUCUGGCAUUUAUAAGUGAAGUGAUCUUAUUUUCAAUAACCUUAAUAAAAUUUGAGUUUGAGAGAAGCGUAAAAAAAUCCAUAUUUCAUCCCAGGUCAAUGUUCUGCUCUGUCUAUUCUAAUUUUUAAGGCAAUGUGAAGAGUUUCAAAAAAAUAAAACCAAAAAAAAGUCUUGGCUAAUGCUGAAAACCGAUGUGCAGUGAGGUAUGUAUUUUGAAGCACAUGAACUUCCAACAUAGACGAAAUUUUUGUGGCUUGCCCCCAGGUAAGAAUAAGGUCAUUAUAAAAAUUGUUUAAGUUGUUCUCAAAACUAUAUUUAGAAAAAUAAAAUUUGUGCUAUAAACUUUUUGGGACUCAACUAGUAUGUUAUCAUAUGUGUGCGUUUUUAGUUUUAUGUUCUUUAUUUUUACAGAACCUUAUCAUAUUUUUAGGUAUUCAAUAGAGAAACCACAGAGAGCUACAGUAAGUAAUACCCAGCUAUGUAAAUCAGUUUCAAUCUCCCUUUUGCAUAUAUCUGCCACAUUUCAGUCUGCCCAUGUUUCUGCUAUUCAUCUACCGUUGAAGAAAACUCCCACUGGUAUCGUACACAAUGUCCACAGGUAUUAUAAAUAUCCUUUCAUAGAUUUCCUCUGAGGCAUAAAGCAUGGGGUCAAUUCAAAGUCAAUCUUAAAUUUUUAAGGCAGGCAACUAUAUCAUUUGCAUACAGAUCAGCAAUCUGUCCUUUACUUAGAGAAAGAUUUACAGAUACUUUAAAAUCAGGCCUAAUCUAUAAAACAAACAAGCACAAAACUAAGCUAAGGUGGGGAGAGAGGGAGGGAGGGAGGGAGGGAGAGAGGGAGAGGGAGAGAGAGAGAGAGAGAGAAACAGAUCAGAUUGUAAUUGCUUUGAAUGUUUGUCAGAGAAGAAAUUCUUUCUGUAAAUUGCUUUUGGUUAAGAUUGCAACAGUCCCAGUGUGAGCUAAAUUGGGACCCAUGAUCUGCAAGUACUCAGGAAUUGCCCCAAGGUGCUAGGUAUCAUUUAUUUUUUAUUUAAAUCACUACCAUAAAAUGUAAGUUUCAGGCACUGAUUUGUUGGAGGGGAUUGGGGGUGGUUUGUUGCUAUGUAAAUAAAACAUUGUUUUCAAUUAUCUGCAGCUUAAUCAUUGCAUGCUUGCAAUUUGCUUUGGUCAAACAGAACUGUCUGUAAAUGUUAUUCUCUGAAAGCCAUUCAUCUUCUGCCCUUCCUGAAAAAAAAAAGUGCAGUAUCCUAGAAAGAGCCAGGCCAGGUGACCAGGACACUCUCAGGACCUAAUGGUAGAGAUGAAGCUCUCGGAUCACUCAAGGGGCUACCUGCCUGGCCAGAAAUCAAAGAAGUUCAGGGACAGGAAGAAUGAAAGAGCACAGGAGAAACAGCUAGAGGCAAACUGCACCUUGUCAAAAGUCAGCCCCCGGCAAGGCAACCUACGUGGGCUUUUGCAGAGCAGGUCAGAUCCUAACAAAACCCAGAAUUGGCUGUCAGUCUCUCCAGGAGUUCCGCAACCUGCAUUCUCACCGCUGUCCACCACAUCAUCAUGUUUAGGUUGACCCCUGGCUCUUCUCAGAGUAUGUCAUGGUCUUUCACACUAGUCCUGAUUUAAGCCCAUUCUACAGAAAGGAUCAGCUUUUCACACUUUCUAAGGUGUCAGUGAUGAGUCAGCCUGAAGGGUGAACUCCUAGAAGCACAGCAUAACCUUUUCC